GGGGGCGUACUGGUUUCGACGGGGAUCGUCGAGGGUUCAGGAAGCGAGCCGCGGCCCCGAACCGCGAUAAAAUCGGGAAAAGCAUAACUGCGAAAAACAAUACUAACGCUUUAGCGUUCGCGGCCUAAGGCCGUGCGUCGAACUCAAGCGCCUACUGCUUGAACCCUCGGCGUCAUUGAAGUAGGGAACGGGCCCGCCUAAGCUUUGCGGCGUGGCCGGCAUCAUGAAGCUACCGACGACGGUAUCCCGCCUAUGGGAGGCCGCCAAAGGGAAAUAUAAAACGUAGGCUGCGCUCGGAGAUGCCAGGGCUUUCGGAUUUUCGGACGGGGGUUCGAUUCCCCCCGCCUCCACCA
Molecule: transfer-messenger RNA, 353 nt
Filed under: Clostridia bacterium
Lineage: Bacteria; Bacillati; Bacillota; Clostridia
Rfam family: transfer-messenger RNA
About the family: Bacterial tmRNA, also known as 10Sa RNA or SsrA, is named for its dual tRNA and mRNA-like properties. Its role is to liberate the mRNA from a stalled ribosome. To accomplish this part of the tmRNA is used as a reading frame that ends in a translation stop signal.
Source: RNAcentral